CUACGGGAGGCAGCAGUGGGGAAUAUUGCACAAUGGGGGAAACCCUGAUGCAGCGACGCCGCGUGAGUGAAGAAGUAUUUCGGUAUGUAAAGCUCUAUCAGCAGGGAAGAAAAUGACGGUACCUGACUAAGAAGCCCCGGCUAACUACGUGCCAGCAGCC
RNAcentral lists this ribosomal RNA (160 nucleotides) under uncultured bacterium. Its description in RNAcentral is "partial 16S ribosomal RNA". It matches the Rfam family "Bacterial small subunit ribosomal RNA", at positions 339 to 516 of the family's 1533-position model. The record is from RNAcentral.